Molecule: ribosomal RNA, 400 nt
Filed under: uncultured bacterium
Lineage: Bacteria
Description: bacterial SSU rRNA
Rfam family: Bacterial small subunit ribosomal RNA
Source: RNAcentral
UGGGGAAUAUUGCACAAUGGAGGAAACUCUGAUGCAGCGACGCCGCGUGAGUGAUGAAGGCUUUCGGGUCGUAAAACUCUGUCCUAAGGGACGAUAAUGACGGUACCUUAGGAGGAAGCCCCGGCUAACUACGUGCCAGCAGCCGCGGUAAUACGUAGGGGGCGAGCGUUGUCCGGAAUUAUUGGGCGUAAAGGGUGCGUAGGCGGCCUUUUAAGUCAGGUGUGAAAGGUCACGGCUCAACCGUGGUAAGCACUUGAAACUGGAAGGCUUGAGUUAAGGAGAGGAAAGUGGAAUUCCUAGUGUAGCGGUGAAAUGCGUAGAUAUUAGGAGGAAUACCAGUGGCGAAGGCGACUUUCUGGACUUAAACUGACGCUGAGGCACGAAAGCGUGGGGAGCAAAC